This 73-nucleotide transfer RNA is filed under the name Bradyrhizobium erythrophlei. It matches the Rfam family "tRNA". Rfam says of the family: Transfer RNA (tRNA) molecules are approximately 80 nucleotides in length. Their secondary structure includes four short double-helical elements and three loops (D, anti-codon, and T loops). Lineage: Bacteria; Pseudomonadati; Pseudomonadota; Alphaproteobacteria; Hyphomicrobiales; Nitrobacteraceae. The record is from Rfam by way of RNAcentral.
GAGCGCGUAGCUCAGAUGGUAGAGCACGUGACUUUUAAUCACGGGGUCCUGGGUUCGAUCCCCAGCGCGCUCA